This 332-nucleotide ribosomal RNA is filed under the name uncultured fungus. RNAcentral describes it as "SSU rRNA". It matches the Rfam family "Eukaryotic small subunit ribosomal RNA", at positions 288 to 613 of the family's 1831-position model. The record is from RNAcentral. Lineage: Eukaryota; Fungi.
GAUGGCUUCAUUCAAAUAUCUGCCCUAUCAACUUUCGAUGGUAGAAUAGUGGUCUACCAUGGUUUCAACGGGUAACGGGGAAUAAGGGUUCGAUUCCGGAGAGGGAGCCUGAGAAACGGCUACCACAUCCAAGGAAGGCAGCAGGCGCGCAAAUUACCCAAUCCCGACACGGGGAGGUAGUGACAAUAAAUACUAGAUAUCAGGGCUCUUUUGGGUCUUAGGUAAUUGGAAUGAGUACAAUUUAAAUCUCCUUACACGAGGAACAAUUGGAGGGCAAGUCUGGUGCCAGCAGCCGCGGUAAUUCCAGCUCCAAUAGCGUAUAUUAAAGUUGU